UACGUAGGGUGCGAGCGUUGUCCGGAAUUACUGGGCGUAAAGAGCUCGUAGGUGGUUUGUCGCGUUGUUCGUGAAAUCUCACGGCUUAACUGUGAGCGUGCGGGCGAUACGGGCAGACUAGAGUACUGCAGGGGAGACUGGAAUUCCUGGUGUAGCGGUGGAAUGCGCAGAUAUCAGGAGGAACACCGGUGGCGAAGGCGGGUCUCUGGGCAGUAACUGACGCUGAGGAGCGAAAGCGUGGGGAGCGAACAGGAUUAGAUACCCUGGUAGUCCACGCCGUAAACGGUGGGUACUAGGUGUGGGUUUCCUUCCUUGGGAUCCGUGCCGUAGCUAACGCAUUAAGUACCCCGCCUGGGGAGUACGGCCGCAAGGCUAAACUCAAAGAA
RNAcentral lists this ribosomal RNA (386 nucleotides) under uncultured Mycobacterium sp. RNAcentral's name for it is "bacterial SSU rRNA". It matches the Rfam family "Bacterial small subunit ribosomal RNA", at positions 524 to 908 of the family's 1533-position model. The record is from RNAcentral. Lineage: Bacteria; Bacillati; Actinomycetota; Actinomycetes; Mycobacteriales; Mycobacteriaceae.